AUAGCGUAUAUUAAAGUUGUUGCAGUUAAAAAGCUCGUAGUUGAAUUUUGGGUUUGGUUAAACGGUCUCUUCGUAUGAAUUGUACUGUUAUGAUCGAAUCUUUCCUUCUGGCAAACUAUAGUGAUAUUCAUUUAUUGCUAUAGGGAACCAGGACUUUUACUUUGAAAAAAUUAGAGUGUUUAAAGCAGGCUUACGCUUGAAUACAUUAGCAUGGAAUAAUAAAAUAGGACUUUGGUUUUAUUUUGUUGGUUUUCAAGACCGAAGUAAUGAUUAAUAGGGUCAGUUGGGGACAUUAGUAUUUAUUCGUCAGAGGUGAAAUUCUUGGAUUGAAUAAAGACUAACUUCUG
RNAcentral lists this ribosomal RNA (347 nucleotides) under uncultured eukaryote. RNAcentral describes it as "SSU rRNA". It matches the Rfam family "Eukaryotic small subunit ribosomal RNA", at positions 594 to 945 of the family's 1831-position model. The record is from RNAcentral.